AACGUAGGAGACAAACGUUAUCCGGAUUUACUGGGCGUAAAGGGCGUGUAGGCGGUUUGUUAAGUUUGGCGUGAAAGCUCUCGGCUAAACCGGGAGAGGUCGUUGGAUACUGGCAAACUAGAGGAUGGUAGAGGCGUGUGGAAUUCCGGGUGUAGUGGUGAAAUGCGUAGAGAUCCGGAGGAACACCAGUGGCGAAGGCGACACGCUGGGCCAUACCUGACGCUAAAGCGCGACAGCAUGGGGAGCAAACGGG
RNAcentral lists this ribosomal RNA (253 nucleotides) under uncultured bacterium. Its description in RNAcentral is "partial 16S ribosomal RNA". It matches the Rfam family "Bacterial small subunit ribosomal RNA", at positions 524 to 776 of the family's 1533-position model. The record is from RNAcentral.